This 440-nucleotide ribosomal RNA is filed under the name uncultured bacterium. RNAcentral describes it as "bacterial SSU rRNA". It matches the Rfam family "Bacterial small subunit ribosomal RNA", at positions 338 to 795 of the family's 1533-position model. The record is from RNAcentral.
CCUACGGGAGGCAGCAGUGGGGAAUAUUGGACAAUGGGCGCAAGCCUGAUCCAGCCAUGCCGCGUGAGUGAAGAAGGCCUUAGGGUUGUAAAGCUCUUUCAGUGGUGAAGAUAAUGACGGUAGCCACAGAAGAAGCCCCGGCCAACUCCGUGCCAGCAGCCGCGGUAAUACGGAGGGGGCUAGCGUUGUUCGGAAUUACUGGGCGUAAAGCGCGCGUAGGCGGGCUGGCCAGUUGGGGGUGAAAUCCCGAGGCUUAACCUCGGAACUGCCCUCAAUACUGUCAGCCUCGAGUCCGGGAGAGGUGAGUGGAAUUCCUAGUGUAGAGGUGAAAUUCGUAGAUAUUAGGAAGAACACCAGUGGCGAAGGCGGCUCACUGGCCCGGUACUGACGCUGAGGCGCGAAAGCGUGGGGAGCAAACAGGAUUAGAUACCCGAGUAGUC